ACUCCUACGGGAGGCAGCAGUGGGGAAUAUUGCACAAUGGGCGCAAGCCUGAUGCAGCGACGCCGCGUGAGGGAUGACGGCCUUCGGGUUGUAAACCUCUUUCAGCAGGGACGAAGCGAAAGUGACGGUACCUGCAGAAGAAGCACCGGCCAANCUACGUGCCAGCAGCCGCGGUAAU
RNAcentral lists this ribosomal RNA (178 nucleotides) under uncultured bacterium. RNAcentral's name for it is "partial 16S ribosomal RNA". It matches the Rfam family "Bacterial small subunit ribosomal RNA", at positions 335 to 524 of the family's 1533-position model. The record is from RNAcentral.